UCUUUCAGAGCCCUGUAAGGGACUGCUGUGGGAUUUCCUGGACAGACUGUUCAGUCCAAACAGAACCUCACUGAGACCUGAAUGGGAGCAGACCUUUACCCCAGUGGGCCUCAUGCCACCUGUCAGCUGGGCUGGGAAAAAAUAGCCCCACACAGACCGUCGGUGUAACCCUGAGGAGCCGUCUCCCCCCAACGUCAGCAGUCAGAAAUAGAUCAUCAAGAAUAAAUCCCUGGAUCAAGCUCAAUCAAUCAAUCAUGGAGCAGCAGAAAGCAGAGGCUGAUCGGCUCCAGCGUGACCCGGGAGGCAUCGGGGUGCAGGCAGCCGGGACCUUUAAGGCUGUAAAGCUCUCAGUGUGGCUGGGCUGCAGAGACUGAAUGCUUCUGAACAGCAGGGAGACAUUAACACUGAGCUGGACUGGCUAAAGCUCAGCGCGUGAUGAUGACGCAUCGAUGAGAGGUCAACACCUUCGCAAGGUGUUUGUCACAGCACAAUGGUUUCAUUCACAAAGAGGACAAACAUGUUUCACUCCAUCAUACAUUAAAACACAAAACCAGGAAAUGUCAGGACUGACAGAUGUUUAGUUUUACAGUCAGAGUUCAAGCAGCAAAGUCUCAGUUUCACCACCUUAAAAGCUUUGAUGAAAAGAUGGAUGUCAGCGGCAGUACCAGAACAACAGUGUUUUCACAACUGAUAGUCCAGUAGCCUCUGUGUGCCUGGGGAACCAAGACAUUUAACAUCUGCUGCAUCUCCAGCUGCUGUGGUUCUUUCUUUCUGCUCUGAGUCAAACCAACCUGUUCCCCUCCUGGCCUGUGGGGGCGCUGCACCAAGAACCACUGAAGGAAACGACACAAAAUCUAGCUACAUUUCCACUGACCAUAAAAUAGCAAAACUGGAAUUAUGAAAAUAAAUGUUCAUAAUGGAAACAUGCCCAUUUAAAAAAGCUAAUGUUUUUAAUGAAAAAAACGUUUUGCUCUAGCGUGAGGUAAUUUUAAGUCAUAUUGAAAUUUGUUUUUCACUAAACUUCCAUGGAAACUCUUUUUUACACAUUGGGUCAGUUUGUAUUCAGCAGCAAUGAGCUCCUUGAACAGUCAGCAUUUAUCACUGAGAUGCUGUUUUAGCAUUAGCUGAAAGGCUAACUCAUUUAGCACAACAUAAAUUAACCCCUCGUGGGCAGACUGAAGCAGCUUCCAGUUAGCGAAUGUUAGCAUAUGUUGCUUGUGUAUCAGAUUUAAAGGUGUACUAGAAACAAGCAAAUAUAAUGGUUCUGGACAGAAACUUUAUAUGAAAACAAUUAUUGCGUUAAAAUUUUUAACACUUUGAAAUCUUUGUAAUUAAUUAAUUGGAAGUCUCUGCCCUACUGUUAACUUUUUUAAAUUUCAAUGGAAAUAAGCUUGGGAGGCUUAUUUUUCUUCGUCUUGUGCUGCUGUUGGCAGAUAUAGAACGUCUCCAAACAUCUCAUAUAAUUAUUUGACAGCUGCCUUUUGGAUUUACUCGGGUUAUUUUUGUGUGACAUAAAGAUUUUGAUAAUCUGAAACUUUUAAACA
Non-coding RNA from Poecilia reticulata (guppy), 1544 nucleotides. Lineage: Eukaryota; Metazoa; Chordata; Actinopteri; Cyprinodontiformes; Poeciliidae. The record is from RefSeq and is a predicted model, not a curated record.